GAUGAAGAACGCAGCGAAAUGCGAUAAGUAAUGUGAAUUGCAGAAUUCAGUGAAUCAUCGAAUCUUUGAACGCACAUUGCGCCCGCCAGUAUUCUGGCGGGCAUGUCUGUUCGAGCGUCAUUUCAACCAUCAAGCCCCCCGGCUUGUGUUGGGGACCUGCGGCUGCCGCAGGCCCUGAAAAGCAGUGGCGGGCUCGCUGUCACACCGAGCGUAGUAGAUCUCAUCUCGCUCAGGGCGUGCUGCGGGUUCCGGCCGUUAAACCACCUUCAUAACCCAAGGUUGACCUCGGAUCAGGUAGGAAGACCCGCUGAACUUAAGCAUAUCAAUAAGCGGAGGA
Molecule: unclassified non-coding RNA, 337 nt
Filed under: soil metagenome
Description: partial contains 5.8S ribosomal RNA, internal transcribed spacer 2, and large subunit ribosomal RNA
Rfam family: 5.8S ribosomal RNA (bases 1-120)
Source: RNAcentral